UUUCCGUAGGUGAACCUGCGGAAGGAUCAUUAAUGAGUUGUCAUGGGGUUCGAUGCUGGCAGCCAGUUUUUGGAUGCAUGUGCUUGCCCUUAACAAUCAUCUUCUUCCAAACACCUGUGCACAUUUUUGAGGGAGUCUUGAGUUGGUUGCCGCUCUUGGGUGAUUUUCUCACAUUCCCUUAAAUCAUUAUACGCUAUUAACAAUGUUGAACGUGCUCUGUGCCGCAAGGCCAUUAAUAUAAUACAACUUUUAACAACGGAUCUCUUGGCUCUC
This 273-nucleotide unclassified non-coding RNA is filed under the name plant metagenome. RNAcentral describes it as "partial contains small subunit ribosomal RNA, internal transcribed spacer 1, and 5.8S ribosomal RNA". The record is from RNAcentral.